RNAcentral lists this long non-coding RNA (442 nucleotides) under Solanum tuberosum (potato). RNAcentral describes it as "long non-coding RNA (STUB_LNC002658)". Lineage: Eukaryota; Viridiplantae; Streptophyta; Magnoliopsida; Solanales; Solanaceae. The record is from RNAcentral.
AGCUAUACAAUCCACCAGACCAUUGCCUUCUCUGUAUGUGUGUGUGAUUGUAGUACUUGUUAGAAGUAUGAUGUCUCUGAUUUCCUCUAUUUUCUCCACCAGUUCCAAAGGUACUUUCCAUUCCAUCUGGAUGAUUUUUUCAAACUGAGUGAAUCAGUUUCGAUUAUAACAUCCUAUAAGUUCGUUUACUUGCAAGUUCUUAAGGCCUCUAGGAUUGCUAAUGAUUCUGCCUCCAUGUUUUUAGCAAUUCCUACUCCCCUUGAUUUUGCAAAUAUUAAAUCCCCACGACUAUCUCUUAGGCAAUAACCAAUCGAACUCAAACCUGAAUUACCUCUGCUAGCCCCAUCAGUAUUACAUUUUAUUCUCCUAUUGUCAGGAGGUUUCCAGGUAACAUUGAGGUAGUGUAGCUUUGGUUUAUAGUUCCCUAAUCUGCUAAUUAUGU